UACGUAGGUGACCAGCGUUGUCCGGAUUUACUGGGCGUAAAGAGCGCGCAGGCGGUCGUUCAAGUCGAGUGUGAAAGCCCCCGGCUCAACUGGGGAGGGUCACUUGAUACUGAUCGACUCGAAGGCAGGAGAGGGAAGCGGAAUUCCCGGUGUAGUGGUGAAAUGCGUAGAUAUCGGGAGGAACACCAGUGGCGAAGGCGGCUUCCUGGCCUGUUCUUGACGCUGAGGCGCGAAAGCGUGGGGAGCAAACGGG
This 253-nucleotide ribosomal RNA is filed under the name uncultured bacterium. RNAcentral's name for it is "partial 16S ribosomal RNA". It matches the Rfam family "Bacterial small subunit ribosomal RNA", at positions 524 to 776 of the family's 1533-position model. The record is from RNAcentral.